RNAcentral lists this ribosomal RNA (460 nucleotides) under uncultured bacterium. RNAcentral describes it as "partial 16S ribosomal RNA". It matches the Rfam family "Bacterial small subunit ribosomal RNA", at positions 338 to 795 of the family's 1533-position model. The record is from RNAcentral.
CCUACGGGCGGCUGCAGUGAGGAAUAUUGGUCAAUGGGCGCGAGCCUGAACCAGCCAAGCCGCGUGAAGGAUGAAGGUCCUACGGGUUGUAAACUUCUUUUAUAAGGGAAUAAAGUCGGGCACGUGUCCCUGGUUGUAUGUACUUUAUGAAUAAGGAUCGGCUAACUCCGUGCCAGCAGCCGCGGUAAUACGGAGGAUCCGAGCGUUAUCCGGAUUUAUUGGGUUUAAAGGGAGCGUAGAUGGGUUGUUAAGUCAGUUGUGAAAGUUUGCGGCUCAACCGUAAAAUUGCAAUUGAUACUGGCAGCCGUGAGUACAGUUGAGGUAGGCGGAAUUCGUGGUGUAGCGGUGAAAUGCUUAGAUAUCACGAAGAACUCCGAUUGCGAAGGCAGCUUACUAAACUGCCACUGACAUUGAUGCUCGAAAGUGUGGGUAUCAAACAGGAUUAGAUACCCUAGUAGUC